Molecule: non-coding RNA, 231 nt
Organism: Pterocles gutturalis (yellow-throated sandgrouse)
Lineage: Eukaryota; Metazoa; Chordata; Aves; Pterocliformes; Pteroclidae
Source: Rfam
UAUUGGUGGUGUCGAGGCACACCUUUCUGGUCGUCCAUCCCUGGCAUCACAGGGAUGACUGGCUUGUGGCGGCCAAGCGUUCAUAGCGACGUCGCUUUUUGAUCCUUGGAUGUUGGCUCUUCCUAUCAUUGUGAAGCAGAAUUCACCAAGCGUUGGAUUGUUCACCCACCAACAGGGAACGUGAGCUGGGAUUAGACCGUUGUGAGGCAGGUUGGUUUUACCCUACUGAUG